CGAAAGCCUGACGGAGCAAGACCGCGUGGGGGAGGAAGGUUUUUGGAUCGUAAACCCCUUUUGUCAAGGAAGAAGUUCUGACGGUACUUGACGAAUAAGCCUCGGCUAACUCCGUGCCAGCAGCCGCGGUAAUACGGAGGAUGCAAGCGUUAUCCGGAAUCAUUGGGCGUAAAGCGUCCGCAGGUGGCUGUUCAAGUCUGCUGUCAAAGACAGAAGCUUAACUUCUGAAAGGCAGUGGAAACUGGAGAGCUAGAGUACGGUAGGGGUUGAGGGAAUUCCCAGUGUAGCGGUGAAAUGCGUAGAUAUUGGGAAGAACACCAGUGGCGAAGGCGCUCAACUGGGCCGUAACUGACACUCAGGGACGAAAGCUAGGGGAGCG
RNAcentral lists this ribosomal RNA (379 nucleotides) under uncultured cyanobacterium. Its description in RNAcentral is "bacterial SSU rRNA". It matches the Rfam family "Bacterial small subunit ribosomal RNA", at positions 376 to 770 of the family's 1533-position model. The record is from RNAcentral. Lineage: Bacteria; Bacillati; Cyanobacteriota.